UUAAAUUCUGCUCCGUACUUCUAACAUUUUUAUUUUUAUACUGUAUUGAAGAUUUGUUCUGUUUUGUGUAUUGUAUUGUAUUGACCCCUUUCUUUUUGAUACCCACUGCACGCCCAACCUACCUGGAAAGGGGUCUCUCUUUGAAUUGCCUUUCCCAAGGUUUCUUCCAUUUUUCCCUACAAGGUUUUUUUUGGGAGUUUUUCCUUGUCUUCUUAGAGAGUCAAGGCUGGGGGGCUGUCAAGAGGCAGGGCCUGUUAAAGCCCAUUGCGGCACUUCCUGUGUGAUUUUGGGCUAUACAAAAAUAAA
This is a long non-coding RNA of Erpetoichthys calabaricus (reedfish), 306 nucleotides long. RefSeq lists it as uncharacterized. The record is from RefSeq and is a predicted model, not a curated record. Lineage: Eukaryota; Metazoa; Chordata; Cladistia; Polypteriformes; Polypteridae. The transcript is spliced from 2 exons.